GACGAACGCUGGCGGCGUGGAUUAGGCAUGCAAGUCGAACGGUAUCAUCCUUUCGGGGGUGAGGGAGUGGCGAACUGGUGAGUAACACGUAGGUUAUCUACCCUCAAGACGGGGACAACCCAGGGAAACUUGGGCUAAUACCGGAUGUGAGCAACUUUUAGUUGUUUGAAAGGUGGCGUAAGCUGUCGCUUGGGGAUGAGCCUGCGUCCUAUUAGUUAGUUGGUGAGGUAACGGCUCACCUAGGCAAUGAUAGGUAGGCGGCCUUAACGGGUGGUCGCCCACACUGGGAUUGAGAUACGGCCCAGACUCCUACGGGAGGCAGCAGUCGAGAAUAGUCUACAAUGGUCGGAAGACUGAUAGUGCGACGCCGCGUGAACGAUGAAUCCCUUCGGGGUGUAAAGUUCUUUUAUAUGUGAGCAGUGCUUCUUAUAUUAACAGUAUGGGGAGAGAGAUAUUAGCAUAUGAAUAAGCAACGGCUAACUCCGUGCCAGCAGCCGCGGUAAACUGU
This 508-nucleotide ribosomal RNA is filed under the name uncultured bacterium. Its description in RNAcentral is "bacterial SSU rRNA". It matches the Rfam family "Bacterial small subunit ribosomal RNA", at positions 28 to 528 of the family's 1533-position model. The record is from RNAcentral.